This 484-nucleotide ribosomal RNA is filed under the name uncultured bacterium. RNAcentral's name for it is "partial 16S ribosomal RNA". It matches the Rfam family "Bacterial small subunit ribosomal RNA", at positions 29 to 507 of the family's 1533-position model. The record is from RNAcentral.
AUUGAACGCUGGCGGCAUGCUUUACACAUGCAAGUCGAACGGCAGCGCGGGCUUCGGCCUGGCGGCGAGUGGCGAACGGGUGAGUAAUGCAUCGGAACGUGCCCAGUAGUGGGGGAUAGCUCGGCGAAAGCCGGAUUAAUACCGCAUACGACCUAAGGGUGAAAGCGGGGGAUCUUCGGACCUCGCGCUAUUGGAGCGGCCGAUGGCAGAUUAGCUAGUUGGUGGGGUAAAGGCCUACCAAGGCGACGAUCUGUAGCUGGUCUGAGAGGACGACCAGCCACACUGGGACUGAGACACGGCCCAGACUCCUACGGGAGGCAGCAGUGGGGAAUUUUGGACAAUGGGCGAAAGCCUGAUCCAGCAAUGCCGCGUGUGUGAUGAAGGCCUUCGGGUUGUAAAGCACUUUUGGCGGGAACGAAAAGGACUGUGCCAAUACCACGGUUCGAUGACGGUACCCGCAGAAUAAGCACCGGCUAACUACGUG